UCCAUUCGCGAACUAUACCUACCUUUUAUUGUUUCUCUAAGUUGUCGUUGUGUUUUUGGAUUUGUUAUUUUGUUUUCUGAUUUAUUUUGUUUUUCAGUUCGUUAUUGUGAUUUUUUUUUAUUUUGUUUUUGGAUUUGUUAUUUUGUUUUGCACUUUUGUUUCGGCCACUGUAAAUUACCCACAUUUAAACAUUUAAAUUGUUUUUUGUUUUCAUUGAACCCCUGUGAGUGAGCCCAGAAGGAAGAACCCCAAGGAGGUUGUGCGAGAGAGAGAGAUUUCAAGAUAAUAACAGAAUAAGCAAAAUAACGACCGAGUGGCUUUAUACGAGACAGCUAAGCUAUCAAAAACGAAAACAAACUGGCAAAAUAAAAAAUAAGAACAGCUGACUAAGAAGCAACAUGAAAAGAAAAAAAAGACAGUGGUCAGUUAUUUUUUAGUGCCAUGGUAAAAUGGUUCAUGUUUUUUUUUUUUUAGACAUAUUGAAAUCUACAGUAUCUCACAAAAGUGAGUACACUCCUCACAUUUUUGUAAAUAUUUUAUUAUAUCUUUUCAUGUGACAACACUGAAGAAAUGACACUCUACUACAAUGUAAAGUAGUGAGUGUACAGCCUGUAUAACAGUGUAAAUUUGCUGUCCCCUCAAAAUAGCUCAACACAGCCAUUAAUGUCUAAACCGUUGGCAAAAAAAAGUACACCCCUAAGUGGAAAUGUCCAAAUUGGGCCCAAAAUGCCACCAUUAUUUUCCAGCACUGCCUUAACCCUCUUGGGCAUGGAGUUCACUAGAGCUUCACAGGUUGCCACUGGAGUCCUCUUCCACUCCUCCAUGAUGACAUCACAGAGCUGGUGGAUGUUAGAGGCAUUGCGCUCCCCCACCUACCGUUUGAGGAUGCCCCACAGAUGCUCAAUAGGGUUUAGGUCUGGAGACAUGCUUGGCCAGUCCAUCACCUUUACCCUCAGCUUCUUUAGCAAGGCAGUGGUCGUCUUGGAGGUGUGUUUGGGGUCGUUAUCAUGUUGGAAUACUGCCCUGCAGCCCAGUCUCCGAAGGGAGGGGAUCAUGCUCUGCUUCAGUAUGUCACAGUACAUGUUGGCAUUCAUGGUUCCCUCAAUGAACUGUAGCUCCCCAGUGCCGGCAACACUCAUGCAGGCCCAGACCAUGACACUCCCACCACCAUGCUUGACUGUAGGCAAGACACACUUGUCUUUGUACUCAAUUCAAUUCAAUUCAAUUGCACCUUUUACAAUGAACAUUGUCUCAAAGCAGCUUUACAAAAGAAGAAAACAGAGGAAGGGGAGGGGAAAAAUGAAAAAUAAUAAUAAAAAAUAAAAACAAAAAAUAACUAAUUAACUAGAAAUAAGAAUAAAUUAUUAAAUUCUAUAAUUAGACUAUUUUAUCCUAUUUUAUCCCUAAUGAGCAAGCCUGUGGCAACAGUGGCAAGGAAAAACUCCCUGGGAUGGAAAGGAAGAAACCUUGAGAGGAACCAGGCUCAGAAGGGAACCCAUCCUCAUUUGGGUGACACUAAACAGAAAAUAAUGUAACUGUAGCUGAUUAAUGUCCUUUCUACAACAGCAAUCAAUGACCCAUGAGGAACUAUCAGGUCAGUGUAGUUUCUAAGGUCAUUAUAAACACUAGUUCUUUGCUGUCAUGGGCUGACAGAUGAAAUGGCAUAUCUGUGAUGGUGUGAAAGUCCCCAAGUGGCUCUGUCCAUGGCUGUCUCCUGGUCCACACAGAUCCAUCCACAGCAUCAGUGGGCACCAUCAAGCGGUGAGACUCCGACCAGGGGUAGCGCAGCGGUCGCACUGGAAACUGGCAAACACUGGGAGCUCAGGAGUGGGGUGUAUAACUCGACAGAGAAGGUAGAGAGAGAAAGAGAAAGAUAUUAAGUUUCUGAUCAUGUGAUGUUUAAGGACAAUGUAGAUUAUGUGUAAAGUGCAAGCAGGGACUCCAGCAAGACUAGCUAUGACAGCAUAACUCCUCACCUGGUUGCCGCCACACACGCUUGACACCAUCUGAACCAAAUAUGUUCAUCUUGGUCUCAUCAGACCACAGGACAUGGUUCCAGUAAUCCUUGUCCUUAGUCUGCUUGUCUUCAGCAAACUGUAUGUGGGCUUUCUUAUGCAUCAUCUUUAGUAGCUGUUGGCUAUUGUCCCACCUUCUGGGACAACAGCCAUGCAGACCAAUUUGAUGCAGUGUGCGGCGUAUGGUCUGAGCACUGACAGGCUGACCCCCCACCCCUUCAAUCUCUGCAGCAAUGCUGGCAGCACUCAUGCAUCUAUUUCCCAAAGAAAACCUCCGGAUAUGACGCUGAGCACGUGCACUCAACUUCUUUGGUUGACCAUGGCGAGGCCUGUUCUGAGUUGCGGUUGCUGUUUUCUUAGGACUUAUCCUAGAAAUUAUGUUCAAAAAGGUGUUAAAUGGUAAGUAAAAGUUUUUAAAUUAAUGUUCACAAAUACUCCAGACUUUGUUGCUAAUGUCUGGAAAAAAAAGUUAAUUUAAGCAUUUUUAAAAUUUUCAUGUUUGAAAUUUUUAAAACCAAGAUUUUGUGAGAAUCACCCGUCUAUUAAUUAAAUUAUUAUUAAUAAAUUAACAAAAGCUGUAUGCAAUGAUGCAUGGAAUAUGUAUAUUUAAGAAGAAAUUAACAAGUGCCACAUUUCAUUUGAACAGAAAUUUUUCGACGGUCCCUAAAAUACAGCUUCCAAAUAUCAAACUAACUUCACCGCAGUUGUAAAUAAAAUAUAUCGACAUUACAAAACAAUACUCAUUUUAACAUAAGUGAUAUAAAAGGAAACGAUAAAUCCAAACGUAGACCUCUGUUCUGUUAACUUCAUCUGUUGUGACUUGAGUCUCCAGCUGAUGAUGUAGCUUUGAAGGAGGCCUGCCUGGGCCUGAUUACCAUGCCCCAAUACCUUGACUCCACUCCCAAGUCAAAACAGUGCCAGAAAGUCAAACGUAAAGAAACGUGAAGCGCAAAGAAAAAACUGUAUCGCAAACUCACAUUUCACUGAAGCGCAAAAUAAAAGCAGCAUCGAAUAUAAAUUUAAGUCAUUUAUAUUUUGCAACUCUAUUUUUGUUUUGCAAAACUUCUCUCACAAAUUUCAUUUUUUCGUUUGCAAUACAUAAUUCUUUUGCGAAUAUAUGUGGCAAUGAAUUGACUCCAUACAUAUCUAAUUUACAUUUUCAACUACUUAGAAUAAGGAACAAUUAUUAAAUUAUUAAUCAACAUAAUGAUUACAACAUUUAAAAAAUUGUUUUUUCAAUUCAGUAUAAAAUUAGAAUAAAGAAUAAAUGCAAAUUACAGGAACCUCAAACAAUAUGCAUUUUUUGGGACUUGAGUGAAUCUGUUCUCUCUCAACCCAUAUAACAGCAGCUGAGAAGUGAGCUUGAGAGCCAUAUUGUGUGCAGGACAGUCACUAAUAUCUGUUACUAGAUUUUUUUGCUAGGCCCUAUAUACCUUUGAAAAGUAACAUUUUAAGCAGUCUCUCAAUGAACACAAAAACAAUCUCCAAAAUGUUGACAAGACUAAGUUUUAGAUAACAUCUGUUUAACUUAUAACAUGAAAGUAAGGUUAAUAAUAUAACUUAGAGAACAAAAUUUUCAGUUUUACUCAAAUUAGGGUCUCUGGUCAAGUCUCUGGAACAAAGCUAAAUCUCGCAGACAUAUCCAGGUCGUCCACGGAAGUUAACACCUCGACAGGAGCGUCUUUUGAUGAGAAGUGUUGAAGAAAAUCGGCAUCUAAGUUCACUGCAGUUAUCUAAAGAAGUAGAAAGCCAAACUGGGGUGACUUUUCCUGUGACAUAAUAUGGCAUACACUGCAGAGGAAUGGCAUGCAUGGGUGCCGUCCAUGAAAGAAGCGUCUCCUAAAGCCCAGGCACAAAAAAGCGUGUCUAGAUUUUGCCAGGGCCCAUGCUGACAAAGAUAAAGACUACUGGGACUCUAUACUCUGGAGUGAUGAGACCAAGAUAAAUGUUUUUGUAACUGAUAGCCUUAAAACUGUAUGGCAUUGCAAAGGUGAGGAAUACAAAGAAAAAUGCAUGGUGCCUACAGUGAAUCAUGGUGGUGGCAGUGUCUUUAUGUGGGGCUGCAUGAGUGCUGCUGGUGUCGAGGAGCUGCAUUUCAUUGAUGGCAUCAUGAAUUCACAGAUGUUAUGCUGUAUACUGAAAGAGAAGAUGCUACCAUCACUCUGUGCCUUUGGUCGUUGUUCACUUUUUGUGCACUACUACAGCAACAAGAAGUAUACAGUUUUAUGCAAAAGUUUGGGCACCCCUGAAAAUUAUCAAUUUCAAUUUAGAAUCUGCUGGGUUUUCGAAGUAGCAACUUCAUUUGGAUAUAAUUUAUAGAUUAUGGAAACAGCAACAUUUCAGUUUUGAAAUAACAUUUAUUUAAUCAACAGAUACAAUGCAAUGUAAAUCAUAAAAACAGACAGGUGCAAAAAUUUGGGCACCCCAAUGAAAUAAUGACAUCAA
Hemibagrus wyckioides is the source of this 4460-nucleotide long non-coding RNA. RefSeq lists it as uncharacterized. The record is from RefSeq and is a predicted model, not a curated record. NCBI's taxonomy places the organism in Eukaryota, Metazoa, Chordata, Actinopteri, Siluriformes, Bagridae. The transcript has 2 exons.